RNAcentral lists this ribosomal RNA (397 nucleotides) under uncultured bacterium. RNAcentral's name for it is "partial 16S ribosomal RNA". It matches the Rfam family "Bacterial small subunit ribosomal RNA", at positions 523 to 918 of the family's 1533-position model. The record is from RNAcentral.
AUACGUAGGGGGCGAGCGUUGUCCGGAAUGAUUGGGCGUAAAGGGCGCGUAGGCGGCGCGGUAAGUCUGGAGUGAAAGUCCUGCUUUCAAGGUGGGAAUUGCUUUGGAUACUGCCGCGCUUGAGUGCAGGAGAGGUUAUCGGAAUUCCCGGUGUAGCGGUGAAAUGCGUAGAGACCGGGAGGAACACCAGUGGCGAAGGCGGGUAACUGGACUGCAACUGACGCUGAGGCGCGAAAGUGUGGGGAGCAAACAGGAUUAGAUACCCUGGUAGUCCACACUGUAAACGAUGAAUGCUAGGUGUAAGAGGUAUCGACCCCUUUUGUGCCGGAGUCAACACAAUAAGCAUUCCGCCUGGGGAGUACGGCCGCAAGGUUGAAACUCAAAUGAAUUGACGGGG